This 473-nucleotide ribosomal RNA is filed under the name uncultured bacterium. RNAcentral describes it as "partial 16S ribosomal RNA". It matches the Rfam family "Bacterial small subunit ribosomal RNA", at positions 28 to 523 of the family's 1533-position model. The record is from RNAcentral.
GACGAACGCUGGCGGCGUGCUUAACACAUGCAAGUCGAACGGUAAGGCCCUUCGGGGUACACGAGUGGCGAACGGGUGAGUAACACGUGGGUGAUCUGCCCUGCACUUCGGGAUAAGCCUGGGAAACUGGGUCUAAUACCGGAUAGGACCACUGCCUGCAUGGGUGGUGGUGGAAAGCUUUUGCGGUGUGGGAUGGGCCCGCGGCCUAUCAGCUUGCUGGUGGGGUGAUGGCCUACCAAGGCGACGACGGGUAGCCGGCCUGAGAGGGUGACCGGCCACACUGGGACUGAGAUACGGCCCAGACUCCUACGGGAGGCAGCAGUGGGGAAUAUUGCACAAUGGGCGCAAGCCUGAUGCAGCAACGCCGCGUGCGGGAUGAAGGCCUUCGGGUUGUAAACCGCUUUCAGCAGGGAAGAAAUUGACGGUACCUGCAGAAGAAGCCCCGGCCAACUACGUGCCAGCAGCCGCCGUAA